GGGGCUGUAGCUCAGCUGGGAGAGCGCUGCGUUCGCAAUGCAGAGGUCAGGGGUUCGCUCCCCCUCAGCUCCA
RNAcentral lists this transfer RNA (73 nucleotides) under Gemmatimonadaceae bacterium. RNAcentral describes it as "tRNA-Ala". It matches the Rfam family "tRNA". Rfam says of the family: Transfer RNA (tRNA) molecules are approximately 80 nucleotides in length. Their secondary structure includes four short double-helical elements and three loops (D, anti-codon, and T loops). Further hydrogen bonds mediate the characteristic L-shaped molecular structure. tRNAs have two regions of fundamental functional importance: the anti-codon, which is responsible for specific mRNA codon recognition, and the 3' end, to which the tRNAs corresponding amino acid is attached (by aminoacyl-tRNA synthetases). tRNAs cope with the degeneracy of the genetic code in two manners: having more than one tRNA (with a specific anti-codon) for a particular amino acid; and 'wobble' base-pairing, i.e. permitting non-standard base-pairing at the 3rd anti-codon position. Lineage: Bacteria; Pseudomonadati; Gemmatimonadota; Gemmatimonadia; Gemmatimonadales; Gemmatimonadaceae. The record is from RNAcentral.